UGAGGAAUAUUGCGCAAUGGGGGCAACCCUGACGCAGCAACGCCGCGUGAGUGAGGAAGGUUUUCGGACCGUAAAGCUCUGUCGAGCGGGAAGAAAUGUAUCGUGGCUAAUAUCCAUGAUAUUUGACGGUACCGCUAAAGGAAGCACCGGCUAACUCCGUGCCAGCAGACGCGGUAAUACGGGGGGUGCCAGCGUUGUUCGGAAUUAUUGGGCGUAAAGAGCGUGUAGGCGGCUGAAUAAGUCAGAUGUGAAAUCCUGGGGCUUAACCCAGGAA
This 274-nucleotide ribosomal RNA is filed under the name uncultured prokaryote. Its description in RNAcentral is "partial 16S ribosomal RNA". It matches the Rfam family "Bacterial small subunit ribosomal RNA", at positions 355 to 620 of the family's 1533-position model. The record is from RNAcentral.